Molecule: ribosomal RNA, 263 nt
Filed under: uncultured Staphylococcus sp.
Lineage: Bacteria; Bacillati; Bacillota; Bacilli; Caryophanales; Staphylococcaceae
Description: partial 16S ribosomal RNA
Rfam family: Bacterial small subunit ribosomal RNA
Source: RNAcentral
CGGACGGGUGAGUAACACGUGGAUAACCUACCUAUAAGACUGGGAUAACUUCGGGGAACCGGAGCUAAUACCGGAUAAUAUAUUGAACCGCAUGGUUCAAUGGUGAAAGACGGUUUUGCUGUCACUUAUAGAUGGAUCCGCGCCGCAUUAGCUAGUUGGUAAGGUAACGGCUUACCAAGGCAACGAUGCGUAGCCGACCUGAGAGGGUGAUCGGCCACACUGGAACUGAGACACGGUCCAGACUCCUACGGGAGGCAGCAGGC